Molecule: ribosomal RNA, 420 nt
Filed under: uncultured bacterium
Lineage: Bacteria
Description: bacterial SSU rRNA
Rfam family: Bacterial small subunit ribosomal RNA
Source: RNAcentral
GAGGAAUAUUGGUCAAUGGACGCAAGUCUGAACCAGCCAUGCCGCGUGCAGGAUGAAGGUGCUAUGCAUUGUAAACUGCUUUUGUACGAGGGUAAAUGCAGGUACGUGUACCUGUUUGAAAGUAUCGUACGAAUAAGGGUCGGCUAACUCCGUGCCAGCAGCCGCGGUAAUACGGAGGACCCGAGCGUUAUCCGGAUUUAUUGGGUUUAAAGGGUGCGUAGGCGGAUUAGUAAGUUAGAGGUGAAAGCUCGAUGCUCAACAUCGAAAUUGCCUCUGAUACUGUUAGUCUAGAGUAUAGUUGCGGAAGGCGGAAUGUGUGGUGUAGCGGUGAAAUGCUUAGAUAUCACACAGAACACCGAUUGCGAAGGCAGCUUUCCAAGCUAUUACUGACGCUGAUGCACGAAAGCGUGGGGAGCGAAC